AUACGUAGGUCCCGAACGUUGCGCGAAAUUACUGGGCGUAAAGGGUCCGUAGGCGGUCUGGUAAGUGGAAGGUGAAAGCCUGGGGCUCAACUCCAGAAUUGCCUUCCAAACUGCCGGACUUGAGGCAGGGAGAGGUCGGCGGAAUUCCCGGUGUAGUGGUGAAAUGCGUAGAUAUCGGGAGGAACACCAGUGGCGAAGGCGGCCGACUGGAACUGUCCUGACGCUGAGGGACGAAAGCCAGGGGAGCGAACCGGAUUAGAUACCCCAGUAGUCC
Molecule: ribosomal RNA, 274 nt
Filed under: uncultured bacterium
Lineage: Bacteria
Description: partial 16S ribosomal RNA
Rfam family: Bacterial small subunit ribosomal RNA
Source: RNAcentral